Molecule: ribosomal RNA, 497 nt
Filed under: uncultured bacterium
Lineage: Bacteria
Description: partial 16S ribosomal RNA
Rfam family: Bacterial small subunit ribosomal RNA
Source: RNAcentral
GAUGAACGCUGGCGGCGUGCCUAAUACAUGCAAGUCGAGCGAACGGACGAGAAGCUUGCUUCUCUGAUGUUAGCGGCGGACGGGUGAGUAACACGUGGAUAACCUACCUAUAAGACUGGGAUAACUUCGGGAAACCGGAGCUAAUACCGGAUGAUAUUUUGAACCGCAUGGUUCAAAAGUGGAAGACGGUCUUGCUGUCACUUAUAGAUGGAUCCGCGCUGCAUUAGCUAGUUGGUAAGGUAACGGCUUACCAAGGCAACGAUGCAUAGCCGACCUGAGAGGGUGAUCGGCCACACUGGACCUGGGACACGCUCCAGACUCCUACGGGAGGCAGCAGUAGGGAAUCUUCCGCAAUGGGCGAAAGCCUGACGGAGCAACGCCGCGUGAGUGAUGAAGGUCUUCGGAUCGUAAAACUCUGUUAUUAGGGAAGAACAUAUGUGUAAGUAACUGUGCACAUCUUGACGGUACCUAAUCAGAAAGCCACGGCUAACUACGUG